UAAAAACCAUGAUGUCUAAUAUUUACCAUAAAUGAAUUACCAUUAAUGGUAAAUAUUAAACAUCGUGGUUUUUA
Molecule: non-coding RNA, 74 nt
Organism: Paramuricea clavata
Lineage: Eukaryota; Metazoa; Cnidaria; Anthozoa; Malacalcyonacea; Plexauridae
Source: the annotation of a GenBank genome assembly